Molecule: long non-coding RNA, 1138 nt
Organism: Gymnogyps californianus (California condor)
Lineage: Eukaryota; Metazoa; Chordata; Aves; Accipitriformes; Cathartidae
Exons: 4
Source: RefSeq, a predicted model, not a curated record
CUAAGGAUGGUGCUGUCUCCAUGUUGCCUGCAGCUUAUGGCCAGCUCCUCAUACCUGACCACUCGUGAAGAACAUGCCUGGCAAAAAAAGCUAAGGGAGCACUUUUGAACAAGGAUUACCAGAAUGUGAUUUGGAUUUCGUGGCCAACGUUUGCAGAGCAGGAACUGUUUAACAAGAGCCAGGAGCUGGAAGCUGAAGCUAGAAUAGUUCAUCCUGGAAACAAGAGUCCAUUUCUGGCACUAAAGGAUGCUGAGCCCUUAUUCACAGUUAGUGAGAAGCGCCGGGUGAGAAAAGAUGAUGGAAAGAAACCGCCCAAUCUCCAUUAAUAGAAGUGGAAUCCCCAAGAGCCUGUCAGAAAUGCUGCCAUACUCCAGGACAAAUAUUAAUAUUAUGCCCAGCAUUAUAACUACAUCAUUCUGCUGUUAACAUAGAUCACGCCUGCUACACUGAGUUUAUUCAUAGAACAAAGUCCCUUGCUUCUGCAGGACAGCACAGGAGCCUCAGGAGUACCCUGCAUUGGCGUGACUCCUCCUAAAUCAGGAAUAAAAAUUGCAUGGACCUUGCCAGGGCCAUGCACUCAGAUGGCCCCUUCCCCUUCCAUCUGGGUGUGCUGGAGACGGAGGGUUUGGGGUUAAAUUCUCCUCUGUCCCAGCUGUGAACAUCUCUGGAGGUCCACGGUCCUAUUCCCAGUUCACCUCAGGAAGAGGAUUAGGCCUUUUGGGGACAACCUCUGCAUCUUCAGAGUUUCCCCAAAUGAAGUCAGGUGUGAACUAAAAAACCUUGUUUCAUCUGGGAAUGAAAUGCACGUUUUUUCUGUUUUCUCUGCAGAAGAAAAUAUAUCCAUCUUUCCCUGUUGUAGAGCACCCCAUGAGUUUGUAGAGGACUGGGGGAGAAGGAUGGGUGACCCCCCUAAACUUGUGUAUAUAUAGGUAGUUCUAUCAUGUCAGCUGUGAACACAUGACUGAGAUUUCUUUGUGUAAAUUCCAUAUUUAUGUGAGUUAUUUGUUACCUGUAUCUAGCAUGGAGCUUUGUUCAAUAUUUCUAAACGGCAAACAUUUUUCUUGAUGGAAAAUGUACAAUUGACAAACUGCUGUUGGGAAAAGCAGUGUUAUUUUCACCAGGAAAACUCUUAAUAGGA